GAUUUACUGGGCGUAAAGCGCGCGUAGGUGGCUAAUUAAGUCAAAUGUGAAAUCCCCGAGCUUAACUUGGGAAUUGCAUUCGAUACUGGUUAGCUAGAGUAUGGGAGAGGAUGGUAGAAUUCCAGGCGUAGCGGUGAAAUGCGUAGAGAUCUGGAGGAAUACCGAUGGCGAAGGCAGCCAUCUGGCCUAAUACUGACACUGAGGUGCGAAAGCAUGGGGAGCAAACAGGAUUAGAUACCCUGGUAGUCCAUGCCGUAAACGAUGUCUACUAGCCGUUGGGGCCUUUGAGGCUUUAGUGGCGCAGCUAACGCGAUAAGUAGACCGCCUGGGGAGUACGGUCGCAAGACUAAAACUCAAAUGAAUUGACGGGGGCCCGCACAAGCGGUGGAGCAUGUGGUUUAAUUCGAUGCAACGCGAGGAACCUUACCUGGCCUUGACAUACAGAGAACUUUCCAGAGAUGGAUUGGUGCCUUCGGGAACUCUGAUACAGGUGCUGCAUGGCUGUCGUCAGCUCGUGUCGUGAGAUGUUGGGUUAAGUCCCGCAACGAGCGCAACCCUUUUCCUUACUUGCCAGCAUUUCGGAUGGGAACUUUAAGGAUACUGCCAGUGACAAACUGGAGGAAGGCGGGGACGACGUCAAGUCAUCAUGGCCCUUACGGCCAGGGCUACACACGUGCUACAAUGGUCGGUACAAAGGGUUGCUACACAGCGAUGUGAUGCUAAUCUCAAAAAGCCGAUCGUAGUCCGGAUUGGAGUCUGCAACUCGACUCCAUGAAGUCGGAAUCGCUA
This 789-nucleotide ribosomal RNA is filed under the name uncultured bacterium. RNAcentral's name for it is "bacterial SSU rRNA". It matches the Rfam family "Bacterial small subunit ribosomal RNA", at positions 548 to 1337 of the family's 1533-position model. The record is from RNAcentral.